This 71-nucleotide transfer RNA is filed under the name Planctomycetaceae bacterium. RNAcentral's name for it is "tRNA-Ile". It matches the Rfam family "tRNA". Rfam says of the family: Transfer RNA (tRNA) molecules are approximately 80 nucleotides in length. Their secondary structure includes four short double-helical elements and three loops (D, anti-codon, and T loops). Further hydrogen bonds mediate the characteristic L-shaped molecular structure. tRNAs have two regions of fundamental functional importance: the anti-codon, which is responsible for specific mRNA codon recognition, and the 3' end, to which the tRNAs corresponding amino acid is attached (by aminoacyl-tRNA synthetases). tRNAs cope with the degeneracy of the genetic code in two manners: having more than one tRNA (with a specific anti-codon) for a particular amino acid; and 'wobble' base-pairing, i.e. permitting non-standard base-pairing at the 3rd anti-codon position. The record is from RNAcentral. Lineage: Bacteria; Pseudomonadati; Planctomycetota; Planctomycetia; Planctomycetales; Planctomycetaceae.
CGGCCUGUGAUUCAAAGGCAGAACACGCGGCCGAUAACCGCGAGACGGAGAUUCAACGCCUCCCGGGCCGA